RNAcentral lists this unclassified non-coding RNA (385 nucleotides) under Hevea brasiliensis (rubber tree). Lineage: Eukaryota; Viridiplantae; Streptophyta; Magnoliopsida; Malpighiales; Euphorbiaceae. The record is from RNAcentral.
AAGAAGAAGAAGAAGAAGAAGAGUAGUGUUGUUGCAGUUGUUGAGCGAUCUUCCGGUAAGCCUCUUUCUCAAGGGAAUCGAGUUGUUCUGCGCUUAAACCCCAGUCGUCAUCGUCGAAGUCCAUUCUUUUUGUUUCUUUGGAGCGCUCUUUCCUGCCAAUCUUGUUUCAAUUUUUCAAGUUGCAAUUGACCAUUUGUCGGGUUUCGUUGUAGGCGAUUUCCAAUGGAUGAAGAGAGGUUUUAGGGCUUUAAAAAGUUUAAUCGAAGCUAAACGAGUUCCCAGUUGUCCUUGGGAGCCCCAAAUUUUGUUUCUUUAUUUCCUGCCAAUGCCAUCACCAUUCACCUGCUCUUGCAGUUUCUCUGUAAAACUCGCAACGAAGUAAAAG